Molecule: long non-coding RNA, 222 nt
Filed under: Capsicum annuum
Lineage: Eukaryota; Viridiplantae; Streptophyta; Magnoliopsida; Solanales; Solanaceae
Description: long non-coding RNA (CANN_LNC006868)
Source: RNAcentral
ACCGAUUCAUUUCUCAUCCUUUUCGAAUCUUGAGAGGGCUUCAAACUUGAACAUUUUCCCUCCUAAAACUGAAUUCUCUUCUUUCCUAUGGGUGUUUGGCCGAAAAUAAUUUUUGGAAAAGUUGAAAUUUAGGGUGACAACCAACCACGUAGUGCCAUGUCAUCAAUUAUGCUCAAUGAAAGUUCAACCCUAAAAUUAGAUUUUUCUAGUUUCUAGUUUUUU